Mauremys reevesii (Reeves's turtle) is the source of this 905-nucleotide long non-coding RNA. RefSeq lists it as uncharacterized. The transcript is spliced from 3 exons. NCBI's taxonomy places the organism in Eukaryota, Metazoa, Chordata, Testudines, Geoemydidae. The record is from RefSeq and is a predicted model, not a curated record.
UGAUUAAUGUCUCGUGUGAAUAUCUGUUUUUAUCCAGUAACAUCAGAAGAGGAUAGAUUAUGUCAAAUCAAUGCUGGAUUCUUGGUAAGAAAAGAGUUUUGCAUUACACAUCGUGUGGGCGGUUGGGAAAGAUGAGUGUUAAAGUCACAUAGUUAAGCCAACAGUCUCCGAAUGGCACAUAGGCUGACAUCUUCACAGAUAACCCUGCAGGCAGCUCUUAGUAUAGAACAUAUCAUGUCUCCUGUUCUUUCUUAAUCUCUUGACUGUUGUAUUGCUGAAUGUCUGGGUUCCUCUCAUAAAUCCCGUUCUUCAAUAUCCUUUUUCUAGGUACCUGAAAGAUUCAUUAAGCCACUAUUUUCAAUGGGGUUUCCCGUUCAAUAUUGGAGUCAGCAAUGAUUUAGCUCCUCUACUCUUCCCUGUUUUCCUUAUAGCAUUGUCCCUAAAUUGCUGUGCUUAUUGAUACAUUAUUAUUAUCGGGAAUUCACUACUAAUAUUUUGUUGUUUCUAUUUUAUUUAGGAUGAAGGCUCCAUCGAGGGCCAGACCUGAUAUCCGCAGCAAAUUUAAUGCAUCCCUCUGGCCCCUCACUGCCUUCUUUAUGCCCAGUGAAGGCUCCUUAUAUGCCACAAAGGCAUAUCAAGCCUCAUUCAGCAGGAUGAGUGCUCCCUCCUGGGCCACUUCAAGACGUGACCAUCCUUUUCCUGCCCCCGAUCUCUCAGAGGCUCAGAUCUACAGGCAUUACAGAGCUCUACUGGAACAGAGUGGACCUUCUGCCAGAGAGUAAAAGAAGAACACGCCAGGACCCAGAAGAUACCAGAUAAACCGUUGGGACUAGGUGAUCCUAGUGUGCUGUUAAGGGGAAAUUCGUAUCCUAACUCAAAAAAAUUAAAUCGUGAUUAAUCGCAGU